Canis lupus familiaris (dog) is the source of this 564-nucleotide long non-coding RNA. RefSeq lists it as uncharacterized. The transcript is spliced from 3 exons. Lineage: Eukaryota; Metazoa; Chordata; Mammalia; Carnivora; Canidae. The record is from RefSeq and is a predicted model, not a curated record.
UUCGGGCGGUCAUGUGACCGGACCGCUGCGCAGGAAACCCAAAUGGAGGGAUGGGCUGAGGGGUCUGGCUUCGUGGCGGCCCCACCUGCCCGGUGUCGUCUAGGUUUGCCGGUGCUGCCGUGGAGCCGAAGUUGGCUGUGUUUCGGUUUCUAGCACUGGCAACCUGAAGGUGUGCCCAGGAGGCGCAGCAGGUAACAGCUCCUCUGUUGCUAGUCUGAGGGCCACCGCAUCCUUUCUGAUUCUCUUCAUCCUAUCCAGGCCGACACAAGAAGAAAUCACAUUUCCAACCAUAUCUGAAACGUCUUUCUCAGCUGGCACCCGUACUGAAAGACUCCUGCAAGAAACUCUAGAAAUGUUCCAGGGUGGUUUGAGGGAAGAUACUCUGUUUUCACGGAAGGCAGCUUACAGCCCCCGGGGGACAAUUUACUGUUGGCACGGGGAGCACUUAUUUCAACUUAACUAGGAUAAUUUGCCUCUUGUUAUAAGGAGAUGGCAUCUCCCUGCGUUUUGGAUUUAUUAACGAUAACAACCCUUGAAAUAAAAGCCCAUAUUUCAGGUCUCAAA